CAUUCCCCAACGUUCAUCAGCAAUAGCAGUGUCAAAAAUUCACAGCAAUUCGAAUUUUCCUAUCCCAACGUUCAUAUUUUAUCCCCAAAUUCAACCUUUGUAUUAACCCCUUCUCUCAUCGUUCUCAGGGUUAGAAAAUUGAAAUUAGAUAGAAAUUAGGAGCUUUUUGACGCUCUUACUUUGUUUGUCCCGUUUCUCGAUCGGAGUUUCUUGUGUGGUAGUGAAAAGUUCUUGCUUAUCUCGUAGUCUCGUAUUGCAGGAGGAAUGAGAGAUUAAGGUCAGGGAGCAGCAGGAGUCAAUAAGAAAUCAGAGUAAAUUACAGUGUCUGUGACAGAUAAGUGAAUGUCGAGGAAAUAGUUCAACACAACCUUUUACAAUUUGAUGGAAUUUGAUGGAAGAAAAUGACCCUGCAAAGAUCUCUUACGUGUAAAAAUGAAGAUUUAUAGGUAGAUUUCACAUAAAAUUGAAUUGGAAUGAGCCACAAAACCAACUGAUCCCUGUAUGUCAUAAUUGUUUCCUGGGUUUAUAUAACAUGAUCAAACUAAUACAACAUUUUUAUAGGUCAAUUUGAAGCCUUGUGAUCUCUUAAAUUUUUGUAUUAGAUCAAAAAGCACGAGGACAAAGAUAUCUUGUUAAUUUUCCUUAUUAGACUCUUUAUAUUUUCAAUGAAA
This is a long non-coding RNA of Solanum lycopersicum (tomato), 671 nucleotides long. RefSeq lists it as uncharacterized. Lineage: Eukaryota; Viridiplantae; Streptophyta; Magnoliopsida; Solanales; Solanaceae. The record is from RefSeq and is a predicted model, not a curated record.